This 497-nucleotide ribosomal RNA is filed under the name uncultured bacterium. RNAcentral describes it as "partial 16S ribosomal RNA". It matches the Rfam family "Bacterial small subunit ribosomal RNA", at positions 28 to 507 of the family's 1533-position model. The record is from RNAcentral.
GAUGAACGCUGGCGGCGUGCCUAAUACAUGCAAGUCGAGCGAACAGAUAAGGAGCUUGCUCCUUUGACGUUAGCGGCGGACGGGUGAGUAACACGUGGGUAACCUACCUAUAAGACUGGAAUAACUCCGGGAAACCGGGGCUAAUGCCGGAUAACAUUUAGAACCGCAUGGUUCUAAAGUGAAAGAUGGUUUUGCUAUCACUUAUAGAUGGACCCGCGCCGUAUUAGCUAGUUGGUAAGGUAACGGCUUACCAAGGCAACGAUACGUAGCCGACCUGAGAGGGUGAUCGGCCACACUGGAACUGAGACACGGUCCAGACUCCUACGGGAGGCAGCAGUAGGGAAUCUUCCUCAAUGGGCGAAAGCCUGACGGAGCAACGCCGCGUGAGUGAUGAAGGUCUUCGGAUCGUAAAACUCUGUUAUUAGGGAAUAACAAAUGUGUAAGUAACUGUGCACGUCUUGACGGUACCUAAUCAGAAAGCCACGGCUAACUACGUG